CCUACGGGUGGCAGCAGUGGGGAAUAUUGGACAAUGGGGGGAACCCUGAUCCAGCCAUGCCGCGUGUGUGAAGAAGGCCCUCGGGUUGUAAAGCACUUUCAGUGAGGAAGAACGCCUGGUGGUUAAUACCCAUCAGGAAAGACAUCACUCACAGAAGAAGCACCGGCUAACUCCGUGCCAGCAGCCGCGGUAAUACGGAGGGUGCGAGCGUUAAUCGGAAUUACUGGGCGUAAAGCGCGCGUAGGUGGCUUGAUAAGCCGGUUGUGAAAGCCCCGGGCUCAACCUGGGAACGGCAUCCGGAACUGUCAAGCUAGAGUGCAGGAGGGGAAGGUAGAAUUCCCGGUGUAGCGGUGAAAUGCGUAGAGAUCGGGAGGAAUACCAGUGGCGAAGGCGGCCUUCUGGACUGACACUGACACUGAGGUGCGAAAGCGUGGGUAGCAAACAGGAUUAGAUACCCUAGUAGUC
This 465-nucleotide ribosomal RNA is filed under the name Vreelandella stevensii. Its description in RNAcentral is "partial 16S ribosomal RNA". It matches the Rfam family "Bacterial small subunit ribosomal RNA", at positions 338 to 795 of the family's 1533-position model. Lineage: Bacteria; Pseudomonadati; Pseudomonadota; Gammaproteobacteria; Oceanospirillales; Halomonadaceae. The record is from RNAcentral.